RNAcentral lists this unclassified non-coding RNA (298 nucleotides) under Hevea brasiliensis (rubber tree). The record is from RNAcentral. Lineage: Eukaryota; Viridiplantae; Streptophyta; Magnoliopsida; Malpighiales; Euphorbiaceae.
AGCACGGAGGUUUAGACAUGGUGCUCACACAGAGUACAUUAUCUCACUUAAUGCAGAUGAUAUAUCCCAAGGAAGUAAUGCUUAUGUUGGAAAGUUAAGUUCGGACUUUCUUGGCACCAACUUUACAAUAUAUGACAGCCAGCCACCGCACAGCGGCGCAAAGCCUGCAAGUAGCAGAACUAGCCGCCGAUUUACAAGGAAGCAAAUAAGCCCCCAAGUUCCAGCGGGCAAUUUUGAGGUUGGACAGGUCUCGUACAAAUUUAACCUCUUAAAGUCAAGAGGUCCAAGAAGGAUGGUG